UCCUUGUUAGUAUAGUGGUGAGUAUCCUUGCCUGUCAUGCAAAAGACCAGGGUUCAAUUCCCUGCCGGGGAG
This is a transfer RNA of Lepisosteus oculatus (spotted gar), 72 nucleotides long. It matches the Rfam family "tRNA". Rfam says of the family: Transfer RNA (tRNA) molecules are approximately 80 nucleotides in length. The record is from Rfam. Lineage: Eukaryota; Metazoa; Chordata; Actinopteri; Semionotiformes; Lepisosteidae.